AUGUGUUGCACCAACGACACUGACCAAUUCAACGAUGCCCGUGCCAGAGACACCUUCCAGAUCUUCUCUAUCAAAGUCGAAUCCGUAAGAGGGGACUUAAGGUGGCCGCUCAACGUGUUUGACAUGGUCAUUGCUCACGACGUCUUGGACAUUGGUUGCAAGCUCAAUAUCAUCUUCGCUCGCCCAAGGAGUAACCCUCAAACCAUCACGGGGGAGCAUCCAUAUCUAGAACUCACGGGUCCAACCCGUGCCAUCAUGACAUCUGGCGAUCCAGGGAAAAUCGAGAUCGUACUCAAAGUUAAGGGUGCAACUGAAUCUGACAAUAGAGAUCUAUCUUUUGUCUUAGCAUUGAAGAAUCGCAUGUAUUAUUAAUACAACAGAUAUUACACUAGCAAACAUAGCACGCUGGAGCUAACUUUCCGUCACAUUGACAACUCUGUGGACGCAACAAUCGGUGCAUGCCUUAUUGGUGGAUCAUCAUGGCCACAUGGUUUGCAAGGUGUAAUGGCCGCUCGUAUUUCCGAUACGGAAGAUGCCAAAGUUUCUUUGCUUGUUUUUGAGGUAAAUUGCAUGUUGUUGCUGAUGAUGGCAUGA
RNAcentral lists this ribosomal RNA (594 nucleotides) under Triticum aestivum (bread wheat). Its description in RNAcentral is "partial small subunit ribosomal RNA". Lineage: Eukaryota; Viridiplantae; Streptophyta; Magnoliopsida; Poales; Poaceae. The record is from RNAcentral.